AAAUUGAAGAGUUUGAUCAUGGCUCAGAUUGAACGCUGGCGGCAGGCCUAACACAUGCAAGUCGAACGGUAACAGGAAACAGCUUGCUGUUUCGCUGACGAGUGGCGGACGGGUGAGUAAUGUCUGGGAAACUGCCUGAUGGAGGGGGGUAACUACUGGAAACGGUAGCUAAUACCGCAUAA
This 182-nucleotide ribosomal RNA is filed under the name Escherichia coli. RNAcentral's name for it is "partial 16S ribosomal RNA". It matches the Rfam family "Bacterial small subunit ribosomal RNA", at positions 1 to 176 of the family's 1533-position model. The record is from RNAcentral. Lineage: Bacteria; Pseudomonadati; Pseudomonadota; Gammaproteobacteria; Enterobacterales; Enterobacteriaceae.